This is a long non-coding RNA of Venturia canescens, 308 nucleotides long. RefSeq lists it as uncharacterized. The record is from RefSeq and is a predicted model, not a curated record. Lineage: Eukaryota; Metazoa; Arthropoda; Insecta; Hymenoptera; Ichneumonidae. The transcript is spliced from 3 exons.
CAAUAUUGCUGGCUGUUGAACCUCCGCUCAUUGCUCGAUCACGCGUGCUAACUCGACUUGCACUCCUUUCAAAUAUUCAAAAUAUUAGCUUUGAAGUGUCGAGUUGAAAUUUCGUUAUUCGGGCACGCCUAAAUGAAAACUGAAAAUUUAUCAGUCAACGGUGUCACCCAAAAUAAGCCGUGAAGUGAAUACCAGAUGUCGCAUCGUCUGCGAUGUCUGAUCGGAAUUUGCCUGGAUACGAUUCAGGCACCAUCUCAUCGAUUCUCACAGAGGAAGGAUGAAGCUCUUGCUGAGCAGCCGAAAGUUGA